AGCAGAACAGUGACUCCUGAGAAUGACAACAUUUGCUCAUUCAAGAAAUUCUAGUUGUAUUUAACAAUUUCACAAAUUCUAUCUUCUCUAAACAUUAGAAAAUUUAUAGCACAAGGUAUAAGAACUGCAAGGCAGAAUGUGUUUACUAGCAUUAGCCAACCUACAACCGCCUAACACUGCCCUGUUUAAAAAACAUAAAAGACAGGCACCCAAAAUCCUGAUGUAGAAAAGAAGAAAUCCCUGCAAGAUCCACAAUAAAAACUGACCUGUAACAAUCACUCAAGCUCUUGUACAAAAUUCCAGCUUGUGCAUUACAUUUUGUCGUGAAUUAUUUACUUAAUUUGCAAUUGUACAAUGCUCAAAUGGAUUCAGUUAUGCAAAUUAUUUUCGCUUUCAUAAAAUACAAAUGUUAAGCUUUUCUUUUCCUUGGCACUCUAUUCCUAUCAUCACUUUACGCAAAAACUGUGUUAUUGGAGCAAUUUACAAUCAAUAAGUUGUUUUCAUCAUCUUCCUAUAAAAUAUAUGGCAAAAGAAUUCCAUCCAUUCCUUGCAUAUGACAACUAUCUCAAUUGCCCAAAAUAACUGUCACUGCAUUAUACUGUUAUAUAGCAAAUAUAAACCAUGCUGUUGACACUAAAUUAGCAGGACACAAGAUAUCAAAUGCAUAAACAAAAUUUGUAAGAGAACAACUUUCAUCAAUCAAAUCUAAGUACUCAUCCACAUUGAUCAUUUCUAUCUAUAUCACUCAACAGAAAUGCGCCAUGGGUUUCAGAAUUACAGAAUGACAUUUACCAAUCAAAAUGCCUUUUCACACUGCAAUUAAGAUGAGCAACAGUAGUGCUCACCACAUCAGCAGAUAUUAUUUCUAGAACUUAAAAUCAUUUGAGAUUCAAAAGCAACAAUUCCCAACUGCUUUAAGAACUUUGUACCACAUAUUGGAAAUAUUCCCAGAGUAAUCCCAAGAGCUGCAGAGAAUGCCAGU
RNAcentral lists this unclassified non-coding RNA (982 nucleotides) under Hevea brasiliensis (rubber tree). The record is from RNAcentral. Lineage: Eukaryota; Viridiplantae; Streptophyta; Magnoliopsida; Malpighiales; Euphorbiaceae.